GCCGACGUAGCUCAGCUGGUAGAGCAGCGGUUUUGUAAACCGCAGGUCGCAGGUUCAAACCCUACCGUCGGCU
RNAcentral lists this transfer RNA (73 nucleotides) under Candidatus Endomicrobiellum cubanum. Its description in RNAcentral is "tRNA-Thr". It matches the Rfam family "tRNA". From Rfam's summary of the family: Transfer RNA (tRNA) molecules are approximately 80 nucleotides in length. Their secondary structure includes four short double-helical elements and three loops (D, anti-codon, and T loops). The record is from RNAcentral. Lineage: Bacteria; Pseudomonadati; Elusimicrobiota; Endomicrobiia; Endomicrobiales; Endomicrobiaceae.